This 363-nucleotide unclassified non-coding RNA is filed under the name uncultured bacterium. RNAcentral's name for it is "contains 16S-23S intergenic spacer region". The record is from RNAcentral.
UCCCCGUUGCCGGGGCAGUCUGACUAGAAAAAUUCAACUAGUCAUAAGGGUUGCGCUCGUUGAUGGACUUAACCAAACAUCUCACGACACGAGCUGACGACGGCCAUGCAACACCUGUCAUUGGGUUCCCGAAGGCACUCACUUCUUUCAAAGUAAUUCCCAAGAUGUCAAGCCUUGGUAAGGUUCUUCGCUUACCAUCGAAUUAAACAACACGCUCCACCGCUUGUGCGGGUCCCCGUCAAUUCCUUUGAGUUUUAAUCUUGCGACCGUACUCCCCAGGCGGGAUGCUUAACGCGUUAGCUUCGCUACGCAACGGGUCGAUACGUCACACAGCUAGCAUCCAUAGUUUACGGCGUGGACUAC